AGGAAUCCUGGAGAGAUUUGGGAGUGCUCGAAAGAGAGCCUGAACACAGGUGCUGCAUGGCUGUCGUCAGCUCGUGUCGUGAGAUGUUGGGUUAAGUCCCGCAACGAGCGCAACCCUUGUCAUUAAUUGCCAUCAUUCAGUUGGGCACUUUAAUGAGACUGCCGGUGACAAACCGGAGGAAGGUGGGGAUGACGUCAAGUCCUCAUGGCCCUUAUGGGUAGGGCUUCACACGUCAUACAAUGGUCGGUUCAGAGGGUUGCCAACCCGCGAGGGGGAGCCAAUCUCAGAAAGCCGAUCGUAGUCCGGAUCGCAGUCUGCAACUCGACUGCGUGAAGUCGGAAUCGCUAGUAAUCGCGGAUCAGCAUGUCGCGGUGAAUACGUUCCCGGGUCUUGUACACACCGCCCGUCACACCAUGGGAGCGGGUUCUGCCAGAAGUAGUUAGCCUAACCGCAAGGAGGGCGAUUACCACGGCAGGGUUCGUGACUGGGGUGAAGUCGUAACAAGGUAGCCGUAGGGGAACCUGCGGCUGUAUCACCUCCUUUCU
This 545-nucleotide ribosomal RNA is filed under the name Candidatus Accumulibacter phosphatis. RNAcentral describes it as "bacterial SSU rRNA". It matches the Rfam family "Bacterial small subunit ribosomal RNA", at positions 991 to 1533 of the family's 1533-position model. Lineage: Bacteria; Pseudomonadati; Pseudomonadota; Betaproteobacteria. The record is from RNAcentral.